GGAGGGGUGGCCGAGCGGUUUAAGGCGCACGCCUGGAAAGCGUGUUGGGGUGAAAGCCCCUCGUGGGUUCAAAUCCCAUCCCCUCCGCCA
This 90-nucleotide transfer RNA is filed under the name Marinivivus vitaminiproducens. RNAcentral's name for it is "Geminicoccaceae bacterium SCSIO 64248 tRNA-Ser". It matches the Rfam family "tRNA". Rfam says of the family: Transfer RNA (tRNA) molecules are approximately 80 nucleotides in length. Their secondary structure includes four short double-helical elements and three loops (D, anti-codon, and T loops). The record is from RNAcentral. Lineage: Bacteria; Pseudomonadati; Pseudomonadota; Alphaproteobacteria; Geminicoccales; Geminicoccaceae.